AUGCAAAGCUGCUACCUUCACCAGACGGUGCAGGAAAUCAGAAACACACCAGGCCAAGGCAGUUCUGAAUCCGUAGUGGAGCAAGUCAGAACACCUCUCAAAGUCACUCACACGUACGCCACAGCCUGUGUCAACAAGAGACACCGUAGGAGCCCUAACGCUGCAGGAUGGAGAAAGGUGAACAGGAAACAGAAGGUGCCCAUGGAGGAGGUAUAUGACAUCUGUCAGGAUCCAGGGUGGGCGGGGGAUUCAGCGCCCCCCUUCUGCCGGCCGAGGGUCACCCAUCGCACUGCAGUCGCUGAAGUUGUCACGACACCGUGACACUUCCUUGGCAAUGGUGGCUGAGAGCCGGACAGCCCUCGGACGUUCAAGACACACACAUAUUUUUGAGUAAAUUUGUCUGAGGGGAGUGGGGGGCAUUUUGUAUGAGCUGUUUGUUCCUUCUCUGUACAGAAAUGUCAGCGUCUUGCUUGUUGUUUCCUCUUUCUUUUUUUCCCCCCUUCCCCUCUCUCUUCAGGGUCCUGGAUAGAGGAAGGUCAGCUGACACGGCAAGGUCGACAAACAAACAAACAGAAGGAAUUAAAAUGGAGAAAAACAGGGCAGAUGAAAUGUGGCGGUGUUUUUUUUUGUUUGUGUUUUUUUAUCUGUGUGAGGGCUGAUGGCUUGUAGCAGCCAUUACUCUCUGUUGUGUCCUCUGCCCCCCAUUGGUUGCAACAACACCGCCUGGCACUGCUGCCAGUGUCACGUCAUCUCAUACUUCUGCUUAACUACACGGACAACAAGGGCCACUUCACACCAGGAUCAGUUUACUAUUUCUCAGGCAGCCGUGUUUGCUCAAGGUGGCAAAGGUCAUUCACAGUGGAUUUGAUAAAAAUAAUUUUCCUCAGCCAGCAUGAGUUCAAAUUAGAUUUUAUCCCUUUUUUUUUCUCCUCGCCCUCUCUCUAUAUGAAGGGGAAAACAAAGGAAGUAUACCCGCAAAAGUCCACUCAAACACUUCACAGUAGCCUGGACCCAGACCUCUAGCUCGCUGCCAAAUAUCUGAUUUCUUCAUGAAAUGGCAAUUCAGUCUGAUUAUCUCAUCAGGCUAAUUGGAGCAUCUUAAUGUUCUGUCUAAACUGAUGAUGUCUGGCUACCCUCGCUUUUACAGCAUUUAUCACACAAACCAAAUGACAAUACGUUGACCUCAUGAUUAGCUCGGCUAGUCCACAAACAGACAGUUUAUAAAGAGAGAUUUGUUUGUUUGGUUGAAAAUCGUUUUAGAGUGAAAGAUGAGAAAUGUGGAUAAAUUAUAACUCUGAACUGAUCUUAAAGUCCUAAAUUCAUUCACAUUUAAUCUAUAGAGUGCAGGAAACUGUGCUGUAGGUACAUUUUAGGACAGUUUUAAACCAUAAACAAUUUUAUAGCCCUCUUGAGUGGCAGUCUUGUGAAAAGAUGAAGGAAUGUUGUUAUAGAUCAUGAUUUGAAAGUAAAGCCUUGCCUAGAAUUGUUUUUUACCAGCUAUUGUGCAGAGUGCAAAGCACAAAGUCGAGCGAAUUCAGACUCAAGUGCAAGCAUGAAAGUUUUUCUGGUGCUAAAUUAAUUUCCAACUCGGGCUUACAGAUGAAAAAGAAUGAUGCCGUCAUUUAGGCUUCACCGCGUGGAGCCGGCUCAGGCUGCUGCAGGUGAAGCCUGGGCCUCACCCUCGCAGAUCUGUAUGCAGAGUGUGCCUUUAAAAAAAAACAUGUUUCUUUUGUUUAUUCUUUGCGUUGUCUUUUCCUUUCUGUGUGGAGUUUUGACAUCGGAGAUGACAGGUGUCUGUGGAGUGGAGGAGGAGGAGGAGGAGGAGGAGAUGCUGGUAAGAAAACAAUCUUUGACUGCCUGUGGGUGAAGGCAGACUCCUCUAGGCAAAGCGGCCUUCAGCGUUUAGCUGGGGGCGCAGUAUCAAAAUCACAGCCACUGCUGUACCCCUAAGGCGCUAAUCUCAGCCAGUUACCGUCAAGUGCUGCUUCUUCUUUAUAUAAUCCUUCAUUCCCCCCCUUCCCUCGGCUCUCUCCAUCUCCGCCAUUCCUCCGUUUUCCCAGACCCAAUCCGCAGAGAUGUGAGGAUAAAUGACAGUUUGAGAAGGUGCAGGGGAAGCCAGGCAUCUUGAAUCCAACAUUGUUUCUUUGCUUACCAGUGUUAAAUCCAAACUGCGCCGCUUUCAGAAAAACGGUUUGCUGGAAUUGUAAUAUCAUAAUUAGCACGGCUUCUGCGCUUAUCUCCACUAAACUAGGCGUCUCACCAGAUGCCGAGGAGACCUCAGCCGUCAUUCAGCCGCCUAGAUGGAAAAGGGUUGUUGUUUGAUCACUGGAUGACUGCUAAUUUAAUAAGUGUUAACUAUGGUGCGGCCAAGCGAGCGGGAGGAAAAAAAAAAAAGAGAAAAAAGGGAGGGAAAAUGUUGAAGUAAAAAGCAUUAAGAUUAACUGAUGACAUGUUCAACUGUGCGCAUAAUAUGAGGCUUAGUUAAGUACGCGCAUGCUGUUUGUCAAUUAUUUAAAACCCCAGGAAAUUAAGUCCAGGUAAUCUCAUAAGGUGUAAAUAACAUUCUUUUUCAUGGCAGCUUAAUUGAAUUCAUUUGACACUGUUUAGAAAUAACAGAAUUAGAUUUGCUUUCACAUGAAACCAAAGACUGUCACAGGGAGCUCUUUGUAAAGUUGAAUAGAAUUGGAAUUAAAGUUUAGUAUUUCAAACACAUCUGGAGGGAUCAGAUAUGAGAAUAAUUGAAAUAACAGAGGAUUACUCGUGCUCCCUGCCUUUUGCAAAAGAAACCAGUGCGGACUACAGUAAUGUUUGCAGCACGUCAGAGGUCAGAACUGACCUGUUAUCUGUGGGAGAGCAGCACAUAAAUGCCCCCAAAUGCAAAACAUUUGGCAUUAAAAAGGAUCUCGACCCUCUGCUGACUUGUAAAUGGGGAAUAAAUUCAAUUUCUACUCUCACUUCAAAACAUUUUCUGUGAUUAUUUUAAUCUUCAGUGUUUCACGUGGAAAGUAACUUUAGUUUUCGUACAUUUAUUUGUUUGCCACUGCCGGUUAUUCCACUGCAGGCCCCCACUAUAUUAAAGCAUAAGCUGAAGACCUAAAAAAGAUAAGUAAAUGUGUUGCUGGUGAGGAAUGAAGCAAAGAUGUUUGACAGCGGGUUGUAAAGACCAGGCAAGCCAUGCAGACACAGAGACAGUGGCCUCAGGCAUUUCUGAUUUGGCCUUACUAGUGGGAUGGCAUGGCUUGACGCUGUUUAAACACACACACACGCGCGCGCGGACAAACACACCCACGAAGAGUUUUGAUGCAGACUGUAGGUGAAGGCCAGUGUAUGUCUGUCUUGUCUUGUGAGUGAGCGGGGCCGGAGAUGGAAGCUGGGUAGACAGAUUGGAGGGACGCAGGAGAAGAGGGGAAAUGGAGGGAUUAGAUGAAACCUUUCAGUGCGUGUCAUCAUCCCUGACAUUCUGUAGGGCUUGACCUUAACAGAGCAACAUUGUGUCAGAGACAGGGUCUCAUCACAGCCCACACACACACACACACACACACACAUAUAUGCGCACAGAAAACUCAGAGAUCCCGACAGCCCGGACAUCAACACCCAACAUAUUUUCAACCUGGGAAUAAAAACAGAUAAGUCAGGUGAUCCUAAAAGUCAAGUAUCAACAACUGAGGAACUAUCAUGUAUCUCUGAUAUGAUGCUCUGUGAUGACCUAUUUACUGAUUAGUGAGUGAUUACACUUGUUUUGUGCAAUUUAAGAAAACGUGAUGAAAGAGUUUUCGUGGAUGUGUUGCUUUCCCAAAUUUGCACACUGUUGGUAGCGUGCUUUCCUUUCAAAUUUCAUUUAUUUAUUGCCUGGUAUUUCUGGUCCGGUUGGUGUUCACAUCAGCUUUUGAAAUCAACAGUAAAAAGAAGAAAAGCAGACACAAGUACUGACAGGUGACUCGUUUUUUGACGACUAUCACUCAUCAUCGUUGCCGCGUCCCAAGGGGAAAUCAAGAUUCUUUGAUAGGCACCAGGAACUGCAGCUCUGCUACUGAUCCUUACAUGUACAGCAGAUUUACAUUCUCCGGCAUCACAAGGUUGAAAGAAAAAUAUUACACGCGCCAUUAGUUAUGAUCACAACCUUGUUAUAAAUGACAAACAUAGGGAAACAGGACAAAACGAGACUCCGGGGUUUCGUUUUACACUUCCAUGGCAGAAGAGAGAUAAGAGAAAAUCAAAGAGAUAUGACUUUUAGUCAUUUCACAUCAAACUUUAAAACUGUAAGACUGAUUUCAGUAGUGCAGCUUCACAUGACACCGUUUUCUACCCAAAUGGGCAGUUUUGGCUGCUAUUAUCGAGGAUAAAGUGGGCUCACAAUGGUGGCAGUACCCCAAUAAAAUCAAUUACAUUAAAAUUUCAAUAUAUUAAAAACUAAUUAUUAUUUCUUAAGUACAUGAAUACUUCCAGUCCCUCAGCCUAACUUUGGCAUAUCAUAACAUUUAUUAAUUCUGCUGAGAGGAUAUAGGACUUACCAACACAACCACCAACCUGCAGCUUUAGCGUUGUUGUUUGUUUUUCAGCUAUAUUUUCACUGUAACAGGAGCCUCUAUGCUUCCAGCACUGCAAAAUUAUUAUUUGUUUGGCUUUUUCAUGGAAUGGCAUUCUGCGUAAUUCUCUCUCUUUCUCACCCACCCCCACCUCAUGCAUGUGUGUGUCGCAGGGAAUAUUGUCAAGGCUUGUUGCCAACUUUAAAUAAAACCUAUUAUUCUUGUUAUUUGAGCCGUCCCUUUAUGUAUGUUUUUUCUUUUUUUUCAUUUGAGGGCAAAAAUGGAAAGUAGUUUUUAAGUUUCACUGCACGAUGUGCACACAGAGAUUUGUGUCCUUAGCCGU
Molecule: long non-coding RNA, 4869 nt
Organism: Oreochromis niloticus (Nile tilapia)
Lineage: Eukaryota; Metazoa; Chordata; Actinopteri; Cichliformes; Cichlidae
Source: Ensembl